This 2922-nucleotide ribosomal RNA is filed under the name Staphylococcus aureus. RNAcentral's name for it is "23S ribosomal RNA". It matches the Rfam family "Bacterial large subunit ribosomal RNA". The record is from RNAcentral. Lineage: Bacteria; Bacillati; Bacillota; Bacilli; Caryophanales; Staphylococcaceae.
GAUUAAGUUAUUAAGGGCGCAUGGUGGAUGCCUUGGCACUAGAAGCCGAUGAAGGACGUUACUAACGACGAUAUGCUUUGGGGAGCUGUAAGUAAGCUUUGAUCCAGAGAUUUCCGAAUGGGGAAACCCAGCAUGAGUUAUGUCAUGUUAUCGAUAUGUGAAUACAUAGCAUAUCAGAAGGCACACCCGGAGAACUGAAACAUCUUAGUACCCGGAGGAAGAGAAAGAAAAUUCGAUUCCCUUAGUAGCGGCGAGCGAAACGGGAAGAGCCCAAACCAACAAGCUUGCUUGUUGGGGUUGUAGGACACUCUAUACGGAGUUACAAAGGACGACAUUAGACGAAUCAUCUGGAAAGAUGAAUCAAAGAAGGUAAUAAUCCUGUAGUCGAAAAUGUUGUCUCUCUUGAGUGGAUCCUGAGUACGACGGAGCACGUGAAAUUCCGUCGGAAUCUGGGAGGACCAUCUCCUAAGGCUAAAUACUCUCUAGUGACCGAUAGUGAACCAGUACCGUGAGGGAAAGGUGAAAAGCACCCCGGAAGGGGAGUGAAAUAGAACCUGAAACCGUGUGCUUACAAGUAGUCAGAGCCCGUUAAUGGGUGAUGGCGUGCCUUUUGUAGAAUGAACCGGCGAGUUACGAUUUGAUGCAAGGUUAAGCAGUAAAUGUGGAGCCGUAGCGAAAGCGAGUCUGAAUAGGGCGUUUAGUAUUUGGUCGUAGACCCGAAACCAGGUGAUCUACCCUUGGUCAGGUUGAAGUUCAGGUAACACUGAAUGGAGGACCGAACCGACUUACGUUGAAAAGUGAGCGGAUGAACUGAGGGUAGCGGAGAAAUUCCAAUCGAACCUGGAGAUAGCUGGUUCUCUCCGAAAUAGCUUUAGGGCUAGCCUCAAGUGAUGAUUAUUGGAGGUAGAGCACUGUUUGGACGAGGGGCCCCUCUCGGGUUACCGAAUUCAGACAAACUCCGAAUGCCAAUUAAUUUAACUUGGGAGUCAGAACAUGGGUGAUAAGGUCCGUGUUCGAAAGGGAAACAGCCCAGACCACCAGCUAAGGUCCCAAAAAUAUGUUAAGUGGAAAAGGAUGUGGCGUUGCCCAGACAACUAGGAUGUUGGCUUAGAAGCAGCCAUCAUUUAAAGAGUGCGUAAUAGCUCACUAGUCGAGUGACACUGCGCCGAAAAUGUACCGGGGCUAAACAUAUUACCGAAGCUGUGGAUUGUCCUUUGGACAAUGGUAGGAGAGCGUUCUAAGGGCGUUGAAGCAUGAUCGUAAGGACAUGUGGAGCGCUUAGAAGUGAGAAUGCCGGUGUGAGUAGCGAAAGACGGGUGAGAAUCCCGUCCACCGAUUGACUAAGGUUUCCAGAGGAAGGCUCGUCCGCUCUGGGUUAGUCGGGUCCUAAGCUGAGGCCGACAGGCGUAGGCGAUGGAUAACAGGUUGAUAUUCCUGUACCACCUAUAAUCGUUUUAAUCGAUGGGGGGACGCAGUAGGAUAGGCGAAGCGUGCGAUUGGAUUGCACGUCUAAGCAGUAAGGCUGAGUAUUAGGCAAAUCCGGUACUCGUUAAGGCUGAGCUGUGAUGGGGAGAAGACAUUGUGUCUUCGAGUCGUUGAUUUCACACUGCCGAGAAAAGCCUCUAGAUAGAAAAUAGGUGCCCGUACCGCAAACCGACACAGGUAGUCAAGAUGAGAAUUCUAAGGUGAGCGAGCGAACUCUCGUUAAGGAACUCGGCAAAAUGACCCCGUAACUUCGGGAGAAGGGGUGCUCUUUAGGGUUAACGCCCAGAAGAGCCGCAGUGAAUAGGCCCAAGCGACUGUUUAUCAAAAACACAGGUCUCUGCUAAACCGUAAGGUGAUGUAUAGGGGCUGACGCCUGCCCGGUGCUGGAAGGUUAAGAGGAGUGGUUAGCUUCUGCGAAGCUACGAAUCGAAGCCCCAGUAAACGGCGGCCGUAACUAUAACGGUCCUAAGGUAGCGAAAUUCCUUGUCGGGUAAGUUCCGACCCGCACGAAAGGCGUAACGAUUUGGGCACUGUCUCAACGAGAGACUCGGUGAAAUCAUAGUACCUGUGAAGAUGCAGGUUACCCGCGACAGGACGGAAAGACCCCGUGGAGCUUUACUGUAGCCUGAUAUUGAAAUUCGGCACAGCUUGUACAGGAUAGGUAGGAGCCUUUGAAACGUGAGCGCUAGCUUACGUGGAGGCGCUGGUGGGAUACUACCCUAGCUGUGUUGGCUUUCUAACCCGCACCACUUAUCGUGGUGGGAGACAGUGUCAGGCGGGCAGUUUGACUGGGGCGGUCGCCUCCUAAAAGGUAACGGAGGCGCUCAAAGGUUCCCUCAGAAUGGUUGGAAAUCAUUCAUAGAGUGUAAAGGCAUAAGGGAGCUUGACUGCGAGACCUACAAGUCGAGCAGGGUCGAAAGACGGACUUAGUGAUCCGGUGGUUCCGCAUGGAAGGGCCAUCGCUCAACGGAUAAAAGCUACCCCGGGGAUAACAGGCUUAUCUCCCCCAAGAGUUCACAUCGACGGGGAGGUUUGGCACCUCGAUGUCGGCUCAUCGCAUCCUGGGGCUGUAGUCGGUCCCAAGGGUUGGGCUGUUCGCCCAUUAAAGCGGUACGCGAGCUGGGUUCAGAACGUCGUGAGACAGUUCGGUCCCUAUCCGUCGUGGGCGUAGGAAAUUUGAGAGGAGCUGUCCUUAGUACGAGAGGACCGGGAUGGACAUACCUCUGGUGUACCAGUUGUCGUGCCAACGGCAUAGCUGGGUAGCUAUGUGUGGACGGGAUAAGUGCUGAAAGCAUCUAAGCAUGAAGCCCCCCUCAAGAUGAGAUUUCCCAACUUCGGUUAUAAGAUCCCUCAAAGAUGAUGAGGUUAAUAGGUUCGAGGUGGAAGCAUGGUGACAUGUGGAGCUGACGAAUACUAAUCGAUCGAAGACUUAAUCAA